ACAACAUUCGGACCGUCGGUCUACCGAGCAAUAUCACCCGCUCAGAGGAAGAAAGAUCCCAUUUCAC
RNAcentral lists this microRNA precursor (67 nucleotides) under Bombyx mori (domestic silkworm). RNAcentral describes it as "mir-2774 microRNA precursor family". It matches the Rfam family "mir-2774 microRNA precursor family". Lineage: Eukaryota; Metazoa; Arthropoda; Insecta; Lepidoptera; Bombycidae. The record is from Rfam by way of RNAcentral.